This 487-nucleotide ribosomal RNA is filed under the name uncultured bacterium. RNAcentral's name for it is "bacterial SSU rRNA". It matches the Rfam family "Bacterial small subunit ribosomal RNA", at positions 501 to 987 of the family's 1533-position model. The record is from RNAcentral.
CUACGUGCCAGCAGCCGCGGUAAUACGUAGGGUGCGAGCGUUAAUCGGAAUUACUGGGCGUAAAGCGAGCGCAGACGGUUACUUAAGCAGGAUGUGAAAUCCCCGGGCUCAACCUGGGAACUGCGUUCUGAACUGGGUGACUAGAGUGUGUCAGAGGGAGGUAGAAUUCCACGUGUAGCAGUGAAAUGCGUAGAGAUGUGGAGGAAUACCGAUGGCGAAGGCAGCCUCCUGGGAUAACACUGACGUUCAUGCUCGAAAGCGUGGGUAGCAAACAGGAUUAGAUACCCUGGUAGUCCACGCCCUAAACGAUGUCGAUUAGCUGUUGGGCAGCUUGACUGCUUAGUAGCGUAGCUAACGCGUGAAAUCGACCGUCUGGGGAGUACGGUCGCAAGAUUAAAACUCAAAGGAAUUGACGGGGACCCGCACAAGCGGUGGAUGAUGUGGAUUAAUUCGAUGCAACGCGAAGAACCUUACCUGGUCUUGACAU